This 494-nucleotide ribosomal RNA is filed under the name uncultured bacterium. Its description in RNAcentral is "partial 16S ribosomal RNA". It matches the Rfam family "Bacterial small subunit ribosomal RNA", at positions 28 to 507 of the family's 1533-position model. The record is from RNAcentral.
GACGAACGCUGGCGGCGUGCUUAACACAUGCAAGUCGAACGGAAAGGCCUGCUUUCCCUUGUGGAUUGCGGGUACUCGAGUGGCGAACGGGUGAGUAACACGUGAGUGAUCUGCCCCCAACUUGGGUAUAAGCCUGGGAAACUGGGUCUAAUUCCCGAUAGGACUGCAGGGUGGUGCCUGUGGUGGAAAACGAUUUUCUAGUGGUUGGGGAUGAGCUCGCGGCCUAUCAGCUUGUUGGUGGGGUAAUGGCCUACCAAGGCGGCGACGGGUAGCCGGCCUGAGAGGGUGGACGGCGACAUUGGGACUGAGAUACGGCCCAGACUCCUACGGGAGGAAGCAGUGGGGAAUAUUGCACAAUGGGCGGAAGCCUGAUGCAGCGACGCCGCGUGGGGGAUGACGGCCUUCGGGUUGUAAACUCCUUUCGACCGCGAGGAAGCCACCUGGUUGGAAGGGUGGUGACGGUAGUGGUAGAAGAAGCACCGGCUAACUACGUG